AAGUCGUAACAAGGUUUCCGUAGGUGAACCUGCGGAAGGAUCAUUACCUAGAGUUGCGGGCUUUGCCUGCCAUCUCUUACCCAUGUCUUUUGAGUACCUUCGUUUCCUCGGCGGGUCCGCCCGCCGAUUGGACAACACUUAAACCCUUUGUAAUUGAAAUCAGCGUCUGAAAAAACUUAAUAGUUACAACUUUCAACAACGGAUCUCUUGGUUCUG
RNAcentral lists this unclassified non-coding RNA (216 nucleotides) under Stagonosporopsis sp. RNAcentral's name for it is "partial internal transcribed spacer region". The stretch from base 1 to 46 matches the Rfam family "Eukaryotic small subunit ribosomal RNA", at positions 1786 to 1831 of the family's 1831-position model. RNAcentral also lists the same sequence under 1 other name. The record is from RNAcentral. Lineage: Eukaryota; Fungi; Ascomycota; Dothideomycetes; Pleosporales; Didymellaceae.